Molecule: long non-coding RNA, 823 nt
Organism: Branchiostoma belcheri (Belcher's lancelet)
Lineage: Eukaryota; Metazoa; Chordata; Leptocardii; Amphioxiformes; Branchiostomatidae
Exons: 2
Source: RefSeq, a predicted model, not a curated record
AACAUCAACUGAUCUUCUUGAAACUGAACUGAAACUUGACUACUUAUGUCACUCCCACAUAUUCUGGAAUAUCAAAGUGAUCAUGACUUUUGAUCCAGAAAUAUGGACUGUCAAAGUUGCUUAAUAUUUUGUCAGCCAUAUUGUUUACAGUGUGUGAACAUCAUGUGCUGGCAUAAAUUCAAAAAUAUAGAAUGAUCUUCUUCAAAGUCAAACAGAACAUAACUGCAUAUCUCCUAUCCCACUACUGCAGGAUAUAGAAGAGAUCCAUCAUUUGAUCCAGAAAUAUAGACUCUCAAACUUCCCAACAUUUUGUCAGCCAUAUUGUUUACAUUGUGGGAAUUUCAGUUAAAGUACCGGACCAAGGGUGGUACUGGUUUGUUCUACACCAGGAAUGUGGAGUUCAACCCUGCCUAAGACACCAGAUCACUAUCUAUUGCUAUCUUCCCUUUCAUCAUUUAAUGUUAAGACCAGAAUAUUCGUACCUUGGUUUAAAAUCUGACAGUGUAUUAUAUAUAUAUAUAUAUAUCUACGCAAGUCAAGCCAUUUCAUUGUUGGCAUUAUAAUGUUCUGUGUUAUGAUAUCUAAAGACAAGUAUAUGUGUAUGUGGUAGGAUCAAUUCUAAUAAGACAUACCUUAAUAUAUUGGAAGGUUAUAGAUACAUGCAUUUUGACUGGAAUCAUUAUGAUCAUGAUAGAAAUAACUUGUUACAUCACUGUGUACAAUUUUUUAAAUAUUAUUGUCGUAAACCCAAGGUAUUGCCUGUGUUGUACCAUGUUUUUUGCAUUCCUUUUGAUACACAUUAAAGACAAAACCUGCCAUGCAA